This 1372-nucleotide ribosomal RNA is filed under the name uncultured bacterium. RNAcentral describes it as "bacterial SSU rRNA". It matches the Rfam family "Bacterial small subunit ribosomal RNA", at positions 28 to 1381 of the family's 1533-position model. The record is from RNAcentral.
GAUGAACGCUGGCGGCGUGCCUAAUACAUGCAAGUCGAGCGAACGGACGAGAAGCUUGCUUCUCUGAUGUUAGCGGCGGACGGGUGAGUAACACGUGGAUAACCUACCUAUAAGACUGGGAUAACUUCGGGAAACCGGAGCUAAUACCGGAUAAUAUUUUGAACCGCAUGGUUCAAAAGUAAAAGACGGUCUUGCUGUCACUUAUAGAUGGAUCCGCGCUGCAUUAGCUAGUUGGUAAGGUAACGGCUUACCAAGGCAACGAUGCAUAGCCGACCUGAGAGGGUGAUCGGCCACACUGGAACUGAGACACGGUCCAGACUCCUACGGGAGGCAGCAGUAGGGAAUCUUCCGCAAUGGGCGAAAGCCUGACGGAGCAACGCCGCGUGAGUGAUGAAGGUCUUCGGAUCGUAAAACUCUGUUAUUAGGGAAGAACAUAUGUGUAAGUAACUGUGCACAUCUUGACGGUACCUAAUCAGAAAGCCACGGCUAACUACGUGCCAGCAGCCGCGGUAAUACGUAGGUGGCAAGCGUUAUCCGGAAUUAUUGGGCGUNAAGCGCGCGUANGCGGUUUUUUAAGUCUGAUGUGAAAGCCCACGGCUCAACCGUGGAGGGUCAUUGGAAACUGGAAAACUUGAGUGCAGAAGAGGAAAGUGGAAUUCCAUGUGUAGCGGUGAAAUGCGCAGAGAUAUGGAGGAACACCAGUGGCGAAGGCGACUUUCUGGUCUGUAACUGACGCUGAUGUGCGAAAGCGUGGGGAUCAAACAGGAUUAGAUACCCUGGUAGUCCACGCCGUAAACGAUGAGUGCUAAGUGUUAGGGGGUUUCCGCCCCUUAGUGCUGCAGCUAACGCAUUAAGCACUCCGCCUGGGGAGUACGACCGCAAGGUUGAAACUCAAAGGAAUUGACGGGGACCCGCACAAGCGGUGGAGCAUGUGGUUUAAUUCGAAGCAACGCGAAGAACCUUACCAAAUCUUGACAUCCUUUGACAACUCUAGAGAUAGAGCCUUCCCCUUCGGGGGACAAAGUGACAGGUGGUGCAUGGUUGUCGUCAGCUCGUGUCGUGAGAUGUUGGGUUAAGUCCCGCAACGAGCGCAACCCUUAAGCUUAGUUGCCAUCAUUAAGUUGGGCACUCUAAGUUGACUGCCGGUGACAAACCGGAGGAAGGUGGGGAUGACGUCAAAUCAUCAUGCCCCUUAUGAUUUGGGCUACACACGUGCUACAAUGGACAAUACAAUGGGCAGCGAAACCGCGAGGUCAAGCAAAUCCCAUAAAGUUGUUCUCAGUUCGGAUUGUAGUCUGCAACUCGACUACAUGAAGCUGGAAUCGCUAGUAAUCGUAGAUCAGCAUGCUACGGUGAAUACGUUCCCGGGUCU